Molecule: ribosomal RNA, 848 nt
Filed under: Acinetobacter baumannii
Lineage: Bacteria; Pseudomonadati; Pseudomonadota; Gammaproteobacteria; Moraxellales; Moraxellaceae
Description: bacterial SSU rRNA
Rfam family: Bacterial small subunit ribosomal RNA
Source: RNAcentral
UUUAACUGAAGAGUUUGAUCAUGGCUCAGAUUGAACGCUGGCGGCAGGCUUAACACAUGCAAGUCGAGCGGGGGAAGGUAGCUUGCUACUGGACCUAGCGGCGGACGGGUGAGUAAUGCUUAGGAAUCUGCCUAUUAGUGGGGGACAACAUCUCGAAAGGGAUGCUAAUACCGCAUACGUCCUACGGGAGAAAGCAGGGGAUCUUCGGACCUUGCGCUAAUAGAUGAGCCUAAGUCGGAUUAGCUAGUUGGUGGGGUAAAGGCCUACCAAGGCGACGAUCUGUAGCGGGUCUGAGAGGAUGAUCCGCCACACUGGGACUGAGACACGGCCCAGACUCCUACGGGAGGCAGCAGUGGGGAAUAUUGGACAAUGGGGGGAACCCUGAUCCAGCCAUGCCGCGUGUGUGAAGAAGGCCUUAUGGUUGUAAAGCACUUUAAGCGAGGAGGAGGCUACUUUAGUUAAUACCUAGAGAUAGUGGACGUUACUCGCAGAAUAAGCACCGGCUAACUCUGUGCCAGCAGCCGCGGUAAUACAGAGGGUGCGAGCGUUAAUCGGAUUUACUGGGCGUAAAGCGUGCGUAGGCGGCUUAUUAAGUCGGAUGUGAAAUCCCCGAGCUUAACUUGGGAAUUGCAUUCGAUACUGGUGAGCUAGAGUAUGGGAGAGGAUGGUAGAAUUCCAGGUGUAGCGGUGAAAUGCGUAGAGAUCUGGAGGAAUACCGAUGGCGAAGGCAGCCAUCUGGCCUAAUACUGACGCUGAGGUACGAAAGCAUGGGGAGCAAACAGGAUUAGAUACCCUGGUAGUCCAUGCCGUAAACGAUGUCUACUAGCCGUUGGGGCCUUUGAGGCUUU